CCUACGGGUGGCUGCAGUGGGGAAUAUUGCACAAUGGGGGAAACCCUGAUGCAGCGACGCCGCGUGAGUGAAGAAGCGCCUCGGCGCGUAAAGCUCUGUCAGCAGGAACGAUAAUGACGGUACCUGACCAAGAAGCCCCGGCUAACUACGUGCCAGCAGCCGCGGUAAUACGUAGGGGGCAAGCGUUAUCCGGAUUUACUGGGUGUAAAGGGGGCGCAGACGGCAAUGCAAGCCAGGAGUGAAAGCCCGGGGCCCAACCCCGGGACUGCUCUUGGAACUGCAUGGCUGGAGUACAGGAGGGGCAGGCGGAAUUCCUAGUGUAGCGGUGAAAUGCGUAGAUAUUAGGAGGAACACCGGUGGCGAAGGCGGCCUGCUGGACUGUGACUGACGUUGAGGCCCGAAGGCGUGGGGAGCAAACAGGAUUAGAUACCCUAGUAGUC
RNAcentral lists this ribosomal RNA (440 nucleotides) under uncultured bacterium. RNAcentral's name for it is "partial 16S ribosomal RNA". It matches the Rfam family "Bacterial small subunit ribosomal RNA", at positions 338 to 795 of the family's 1533-position model. The record is from RNAcentral.